CAAAGGUUUGGUCCUGACUUUACUAUCAAUUUUAACUGAAUUUAUACAUGCAAGUAUCCGCGCCCCCGUGAGGAUGCCCUCGGUUUUCUAAUGAAAAUCAGGAGCUGGUAUCAGGCUCAAUAGUUUGCCCACAACACCUUGCUUAGCCACACCCCCAAGGGAGUACAGCAGUAAUAAAUAUUAAGCUAUAAGUGAAAACUUGACUUAAUUACAGUUAAUAGGGCCGGUAAAACUCGUGCCAGCCACCGCGGUUAUACGAGAGACCCAAAUUGAUAAACAACGGCGUAAAGGGUGGUUAUAAUUAUAAAUACACUAGGGCCGAACUUGUCCCAGACUGUUAUACGUUACGGAAUAAUGAAGACCAUAAACGAAAGUAGCCCUAAACUAUUGAACCCACGAAAGCUAGGAAACAAACUGGGAUUAGAUACCCCACUAUGCCUAGCCAUAAACCCCGAUAAUAUUAUACAUCAAUUAUCCGCCAGGGUACUACGAGCGUAAGCUUAAAACCCAAAGGACUUGGCGGUGCUUUAGACCCCCCUAGAGGAGCCUGUUCUAUAACCGAUAAUCCCCGUUAAACCUCACCCUCUUUUGUUUUAUCCGCCUAUAUACCACCGUCGUCAGCUUACCCUUUGAAGGCUUAUUAGUAAGCAAAAUUGGUCUAUCCCAAAACGUCAGGUCGAGGUGCAGUGUAUGAGAGGGGAAGAAAUGGGCUACAUUUACUAAUUUAGUAAACUACGAAAAAGGUGCUGAAACACACCUUAGAAGGAGGAUUUAGCAGUAAGGGGGGAAAUAGAGUGCUCCCCUGAAACUGGCCCUGAAGCGCGCACACACCGCCCGUCACUCUCCCCACAUAAUAAACUUAUUGUAUAUUUAAAUAAAUCUCUUAUAUUUUAGGGGAGGCAAGUCGUAACAUGGUAAGCGUACCGGAAGGUGCUCUUGGAAAAAU
Synchiropus splendidus (mandarinfish) is the source of this 946-nucleotide non-coding RNA. The record is from the annotation of a RefSeq genome assembly. Lineage: Eukaryota; Metazoa; Chordata; Actinopteri; Syngnathiformes; Callionymidae.